AUGAAGCCUAGCUUGCUGGGUGGAUUAGUGGCGAACGGGUGAGUAAUGCGUGAGUGACCUACCUUGGACUCUGGGAUAAGCCUGGGAAACUGGGUCUAAUACUGGAUAUGACUUCCGGGUGCAUGCUCGGGGGUGGAAAGCGUUAUGGAGUGGUUUGAGAUGGGCUCACGGCCUAUCAGCUUGUUGGUGGGGUAAUGGCUUACCAAGGCGACGACGGGUAGCCGGCCUGAGAGGGUGACCGGCCACACUGGGACUGAGACACGGCCCAGACUCCUACGGGAGGCAGCAGUGGGGAAUAUUGCACAAUGGGCGCAAGCCUGAUGCAGCGACGCCGCGUGAGGGAUGACGGCCUUCGGGUUGUAAACCUCUGUUAGCACUGAAGAAGCGAAAGUGACGGUAGGUGCAGAGAAAGCGCCGGCUAACUACGUGCCAGCAGCCGCGGUAAUACGUAGGGCGCGAGCGUUGUCCGGAAUUAUUGGGCGUAAAGAGCUUGUAGGCGGUUGGUCGCGUCUGCUGUGAAAGGCCGGGGCUUAACCCCGUGUAUGGCAGUGGGUACGGGCUAACUAGAGUGCAGUAGGGGAGACUGGAAUUCCUGGUGUAGCGGUGGAAUGCGCAGAUAUCAGGAGGAACACCGAUGGCGAAGGCAGGUCUCUGGGCUGUAACUGACGCUGAGAAGCGAAAGCAUGGGGAGCGAACAGGAUUAGAUACCCUGGUAGUCCAUGCCGUAAACGUUGGGCACUAGGUGUGGGGGGCAUUCCACGUUUUCCGCGCCGUAGCUAACGCAUUAAGUGCCCCGCCUGGGGAGUACGGCCGCAAGGCUAAAACUCAAAGAAAUUGACGGGGGCCCGCACAAGCGGCGGAGCAUGC
This 867-nucleotide ribosomal RNA is filed under the name uncultured Rothia sp. RNAcentral's name for it is "bacterial SSU rRNA". It matches the Rfam family "Bacterial small subunit ribosomal RNA", at positions 69 to 942 of the family's 1533-position model. Lineage: Bacteria; Bacillati; Actinomycetota; Actinomycetes; Micrococcales; Micrococcaceae. The record is from RNAcentral.